This is a non-coding RNA of Momordica charantia (bitter melon), 2963 nucleotides long. Lineage: Eukaryota; Viridiplantae; Streptophyta; Magnoliopsida; Cucurbitales; Cucurbitaceae. The record is from RefSeq and is a predicted model, not a curated record.
AAACGACGUUGUUCUGUAUUUCUUUUGUCAACCCCGAGUCUCUCUCCCCCUCCGCCCAACUGUAUAGGCUCUGAAUAUCUCUGGGUUAUUUUCUCGAGAAAAUCUAGCGCCGAGAAAAAUUGGGCGAAUUUUACGACUGCAGCUCAAUUACUUUGCAUUAAUUCUGUAAACAGAAAUGGAUCGGCGGCGACCUGCUAGUCCAGUUUACACCAGGCAGUGGAGUGGUGGCUCGAGCAGCACAGGAUCGUCCUCUCCCGCGAUGUCGCCGGCUCAUCCUCAGUCUCGAUUGGGUGCGUCUUCCACCAUCAAGCGCGCCCAGAAUGUUGCCGCCAAGAAGGCUGCUCAGCGUUUGGCACAGGUCAUGGCCUCGCAGGCCCCGGAGGAGGAGGACGACGAAGACGAUGAUCUCAGCUUUCGAUUCGGUGCCCCACCGCCUCCUCCUACUCACUCGUCUUAUCCAAGUGUUGUGAAUAGUAACAAUACCAAUUCGUUUCAUACGAUUUCGGGUCCCAGGAUUAAUAGAUCUCCUUCCCCCGCGUUAGGUCGGAAUUUCGUAGAGCAUGUUCCUACAGUUCGAUCCACAUCAACUGGUAGAUCAUCGAUGUCCGUGCGUUCUACCCAGAUUGUACCACCGAGUAGAACUUCACUCAGAACUCCAGUCUCCAUACCUCCAAUUGAUCCUCCUUCUAAUAGAGGUGGAGAUAGAAGGUUUACACCAGAUAUUGGACAGGUCAACUCCAAAGAUGAAGGAGAUCGGCGGGAAGCUUCUGCACUACGUGAUGAGCUUGACAUGCUACAAGAAGAGAAUGAGAAUAUACUUGAAAAGCUUCGACAAGCAGAAGAAAGACGGGAAGAAGCAGAGGCUAGAGCUAGAAUGCUGGAGAAGCAGGUUGCUACUCUUGGAGAGGGUGUAUCCUUGGAAGCUAAAUUAUUAAGCAGGAAAGAAGCAGCCUUGCGUCAAAGAGAGGCUGCACUUAAGGCUGCCAAACCAACCAAGGAUAGUAGAGAUGAAGAAAUUGCUGCCCUUCGUUCAGAAAUUGAGAACUUAAAAGGUGAGUCGUCAGAAGCUACAGAACAACUCCGAGAAGCAGAGUCUGAAGCAAAGUCUCUUCGUGUAAUGACACAGAGAAUGAUUUUGACCCAAGAAGAGAUGGAGGAGGUUGUUCUGAAGAGGUGUUGGCUUGCUCGCUACUGGGGCUUAGCUGUUCAAUAUGGCAUAUGUUCGGAUAUAGCAAUCUCAAAACACGAGUAUUGGUCUUCGUUAGCUCCUUUGCCAUUUGAAGUUGUCAUUUCUGCAGGACAAAAGGCUAAGGAGGAGCCUGAAGGUCGAAAUGAUCUAGAUAGGAGUAAGCUCAUCCAGGAUUUAAGUGAUCUAUCUGGGGAAGGAAAUAUCGAGAGUAUGCUUUCAGUUGAAAUGGGAUUGAGAGAAUUAACAUCUCUAAAGGUUGAAGAUGCAACAGUGCUUGCAUUGGCGCAACAUAGACGACUAAGUUUGAUUCAUCAAUCAGAUUCAAAAGCACCUGCUGAUCCGAAGUUUUCUGAGGCUUUUGAACUAAGUGAUGCUGAAGCUGAAGAUGUUCUUUUCAAAGAGGCUUGGCUUACGUACUUCUGGCGAAGAGCCAAGGCAUAUGGUGUGGAGGAGGAUGUUGCAGAUGAGCGGCUUCAGUUUUGGAUCAGUCGUAUUGGACAGCCUCCGACUUCACACGAUGCUGUGGACGUUGAACGAGGUCUUAUAGAGCUCAGAAAGCUGGGAAUAGAACAACAGCUUUGGGAGGCAUCUAGAAAGGAAAUCGAUCAAUCUUCUGCAUUCUCACUCAGUAAUCACAAAUCUGCAAGGGAAUUAGGCACCGUAUCCUGAAAGACCACCGGAUCUAUACGUGUACUCAAAUCUUCAUGUCUCCAUUCCGAUUAAAGUCUCCAGUCUCUGUUUUUUUCCUUUAUAAACAUAUGAAUGGAAAAAAAAACCCGCCGUUUCUCUCUCCUUGGGGAAGGCUCUGAAAGGUUCGUUUUCAACAUUCUGCUCUGUAUCCUAUGAAAUUCAAAACAAUCCGAUUAAAGAAAGUCUAUUUUUAGUCCAAAAGAAAUGAUGGGAGUUAUUCAACAACAUUUCUGUUUCUCAUCUCAACAUUGUGGUGACGCAAUACUAUACUAGUUUGGGUUGACCAUAAAUUUUAACAAAAUCUAGUAAGCAGAUACAUUUAUUGGCGUAGGAUAGAUGAUUUAACCAAAGCACGACUUUACAAGAGAUUAUUUAGGAAUCAAUUAGUUUAACGAAUUCCUGCUCCUAUCCAUAAAAAUCUAUAUCAUCAUCCCUUGUAUUGAAUGUGCCAAGUGUCUAACUUUAGUAGUCUGUUCAUGUAUGAUAUUAACCAUCAUUAAUCAUGCAGAGAAGACCAAGGCAAGACAGCCACAGGCACAGCAGAGACUGAGAGCAAUAUUUUUUUUAGCAAUUUGUAGAUGCGUCAUUUUCAGAGAAGAAGGCGUUGGUAUAUAAUGAAGCCAAAGUAUUUAAUAUUUGCAAAGUGGGGACUGUUCUCUAAGGCCCUUUGGCUUUGGCAAUGGCUGCUCUCUCUCUCUCUCUCUCUAUCCAAUGCCCAACUUCUUCACGAGGUUGCUCCAGUAAUAUUAAUGACGCCCUUAAGUCUGCACCCUCAUUUACUAUUCUUUGUCGCCCUCUCUUUCAGCUGCGCCUCCGAUCCUCAAAUUUUGAAUCUGGCUUCUACCUUGUGGCCUAUUAUUAACCCAUAAGCCCCCACUUACGUACUUGCAGAAACUCAGAAAUGGCAUUAAAUUACCGCUAUAUACUCCACCAUACUGGUCUCUGUGUGUGGAGUUUUGAUGGGGUUUUGUUACUUUUUAAAGAAGUAUUCAAUUGUUUUUGUUUUUGCUUUAGAGGGCCAUAUAUGGCUGAAUCCUGAAAAGGGCGUGGAGGGGAAGAAGGUAAUUGAAAAUGGAGGGUCUUG